Molecule: long non-coding RNA, 1607 nt
Organism: Polyodon spathula (Mississippi paddlefish)
Lineage: Eukaryota; Metazoa; Chordata; Actinopteri; Acipenseriformes; Polyodontidae
Exons: 4
Source: RefSeq, a predicted model, not a curated record
GUCAACCUGCUUUCAAACUGUUUCUAAACUGCUCUGUACUUUUCCAUGCCUGUACUUCUCCCACUCGAGUCCUGAAGUCUCUGUAUUUGAAAGCCAGUCACUCACGAGUCUUGAAGUCUCUGUAUUUGAAAGCCAGUCACUCACGAGUCCUGAAGUCUCUGUAUUUGAAAGCCAGUCACUCACGAGUCCUGAAGUCUCUGUAUUUGAAAGCCAGUCACUCACGAGUCCUGAAGUCUCUGUAUUUGAUUUCUUGUGUUUUCCUCUAAGAGUUCCUGGACUGAGAAGAGAUUGAGAAGAUGCUGAGAGUGAAGAGAGGAGUGCUGCUGCUCAUACUGCUGGUAACAUUCAGCUCAGCAGCAGAUCUGAAAUACUACUGCUCCGUUAACUUCCCAAAUCCCUGCCCAGUGCUUAAUUUUUUUUCCUGGUAUGAAGUUGGAUCAUCCUGUGUCAAAUAUUUCAGCACCCCAAUGACCUUUUCUGUUGCUGAGGUGAGCCUGUUUGUCUGAGGUGAGGUGAGUCUGUUGAGCCUCUCUCCCUCCUCUCAAUCCCUGCCUUCCCAUCCUCUCCCCUCCCCUGCCCUCCAUUCCGGUGGUCACUUGGUCUCGAUUCACAGUGAGGAGACUAACAAAAGGCUCUCGUGUAUCACCAAGAAAUACCAGCACACUGGCAAGCCUCAAACCUGGAUGGGGGGUUUCUAUCUAUUCAAGGUGAACUGGGGCCCCAAAAGUACAUCUGGACCGAUGGUUCUGAAUGGGAUUAUUCCAAUUGGGCCCUGGGGGAACCAAACAACCAGAGCAAUCUUGAGGACUGCACAGAGAUUAACUAUAACAGUCCUGGCAAAUGGAAUGAUGUCAACUGUAACAUUAAGAAACCAUUUAUCUGCGCUUUCAAAGUCCAGAGAAACUAGCAGCCAGCCGAGAUGCCAUGAGAAAGCAACAUCACAAUGAAAGGGGCUCCAGCCAUCAAAUCCAUUAUUAACAUUACCACUGCUCCCCAGCCAUUUAUCAAAUCCAUUAUUAACAUUACCACUGCUCCCCAGCCAUUUAUCAAAUCCAUUAUUAACAUUACCACUGCUCCCCAGCCAUUUAUCAAAUCCAUUAUUAACAUUACCACUGCUCCCCAGCCAUUUAUCAAAUCCAUUAUUAACAUUACCACUGCUCCCCAGCCAUUUAUCAAAUCCAUUAUUAACAUUACCACUGCUCCCCAGCCAUUUAUCAAAUCCAUUAUUAACAUUACCACUGCUCCCCAGCCAUUUAUCAAAUCCAUUAUUAACAUUACCACUGCUCCCCAGCCAUUUAUCAAAUCCAUUAUUAACAUUACCACUGCUCCCCAGCCAUUUAUCAAAUCCAUUAUUAACAUUACCACUGCUCCCCAGCCAUUUAUCAAAUCCAUUAUUAACAUUACCACUGCUCCCCCUACCUCCCUUCCUCUCUAACUCUCUAACUAACUAAACAUCUUUAAAAUCCUCUCUUCUUAUUAUUAACAUUAUCACUGCUCCUCCUCUCUACCUUCAUUAUUAGAAAUGGUUUCCUGCUGGACCCCAUCGCUUCUGCAUUGCUUUGAUUUACUGCAAUAAAACAGCUUUCUGAGCAUCAUGUAAAAAAUCA